UACGUAGGGACCAAGCGUUAUCCGGAAUGAUUGGGCGUAAAGCGUCCGCAGGUGGCAGUUCAAGUCUGCUGUCAAAGACCGGGGCUUAACUUCGGAAAGGCAGUGGAAACUGAACAGCUAGAGUAUGGUAGGGGCAGAGGGAAUUCCUGGUGUAGCGGUGAAAUGCGCAGAUAUCAGGAAGAACACCCGUGGCGAAGGCGGUUCUCUGGAACGCAACUGACGCUGAGACGCGAAAGCGUGGGGAGCAAACAGG
Molecule: ribosomal RNA, 253 nt
Filed under: uncultured bacterium
Lineage: Bacteria
Description: partial 16S ribosomal RNA
Rfam family: Bacterial small subunit ribosomal RNA
Source: RNAcentral